UACGAAGGGGGCUAGCGUUGCUCGGAAUUACCGGGCGUAAAGGGCGCGUAGGCGGAUGUCUAAGUCAGAGGUAAAAGCCCAGGGCUCAACCUUGGAACUGCCUUUGAUACUGGACAUCUUGAGUACGGGAGAGGUGAGUGGAACUCCGAGUGUAGAGGUGAAAUUCGUAGAUAUGCGGAAGAACACCAGUGGCGAAGGCGACUCACUGGCCCGUUACUGACGCUCAGGCGCGACAGCGUGGGGAUCAAACAGG
RNAcentral lists this ribosomal RNA (253 nucleotides) under uncultured bacterium. RNAcentral's name for it is "partial 16S ribosomal RNA". It matches the Rfam family "Bacterial small subunit ribosomal RNA", at positions 524 to 776 of the family's 1533-position model. The record is from RNAcentral.